Long non-coding RNA from Branchiostoma floridae (Florida lancelet), 1707 nucleotides. RefSeq lists it as uncharacterized. The record is from RefSeq and is a predicted model, not a curated record. The transcript is spliced from 2 exons. NCBI's taxonomy places the organism in Eukaryota, Metazoa, Chordata, Leptocardii, Amphioxiformes, Branchiostomatidae.
AGUAAUUGGUAUAGUUUUUUGUCUGCCUAUCACGUUUGUUGUUGUUGUUGUGGAAGGAGUUGAACGUAUUGCCUUAUUUUACGUAUUUUCCUUUUGUUUGUUUUUUCUGUAUAUUUGCUUUGUUUAAUUUUGAAGUUAGGUUCGGCGAUUCUGGGCAUUGCAUUUCGUGGACCAGCCAGCAUUCAGCAACCCGAAAAGCUGAGGGACCAGGCCUCAAGACGCUCGGACAGCUGUCAACCACUGCCGCAGUUUUCCUAAGGAAGCAUUCAGUACAACGCGCGUGGGUGUGAUGCGAGGACGUCUGAAAAUACCACCUCAAGUUCAGCAACUUAGACCCACCAGCCAGCUGAGAAGUACACGCAGCAAACCAUAUGGGAGGACGGCGUACAGGCAGGGAUGGUGGCCAAGCAAAGGGAUCAAGAAGUUUAAAACUAGACUUAAAAUUCAGAAACAGAGAGACAACAGCCCCAGAAUUUUUUACUCUCUCGUACGUUCGAAUUGUGACCUGAAGUUCCAUUUUGCCUUAAAGUAACAGAAGAUGUUAGAGGGCGUCUGUUAAACGCUUUCUUCGUAAAAAAAAAAAGAACAUCUAUACUGUCUUAAAGUUCACUGUAGGGAUGACCACUGUAUUUGCUUGUUUUUAAUUAGAACACAUCAACGUCAGAAGUUGUCCAGGAAGUGACAUGUUUUUCGUUGUAAUGUUGAGAAACAACUAGUUAUUAAAUCGGUUUGCUGUUUUCGUCUGUCUCCAUUUUCUUUACUUGGUAGUACGUUCCAGCGCUUAUGGUUUAUAAGUAAUUUGAAAAGGAGCAUGUUUAAUAUAAAGUGCCAUGGAUAAAUACAGGUUCGUGUAUCUUGGGUAGUAAUUUGUUGAUAACUUGACGAGGCACGAAAGUUAAAAGGCAGCAGUUAUUUUGUCGUUUUAUCGAAACAUUUAGGCCAAAGUCUAAUUUUGCUUCGUAGGUAGAUCUGACAUGUUUAGCUGUAAUGAGUCCAAAGAUGACGCUAUAAAAGUUUCAGGUUAAUAUAGCCAGUAUUAAAAGGUCACUGCUUACUUUCUGUCAGCCUUUAUUGGCACACACAGGGUUAAGGCUUAUUUAUAGAAGACAUUAAGGUUUUGCUGCACAUAAAAUAAAAUGUCUUCAAUUUAUCACAUAUGCUUUCCAAGCUAGACCUAGUAAUAUAGGGUUGGCUACCCAGCGCAAAACGGCAUUGGCCAAAACUGGUUUCGUCAAGUAUGUAUCAAUUCAAGGGUUAGUGGAUUUUCCAGAGAGGUUGUUAUCAGUGAAAAGCUAGAACAGUAGUGAGGAGGACUCUAACACUUCAAUACAGAUUUCUUGUUUAGAUACAAUUAUCCCAAUGUAUGUGACGUAGCUUGGUUUGCUAAACGGCAGUUAAAACAAAUAUUUGAAACCGAAUGUCGACAUUUUUUUUGUUUAUACCCGAGUUCUGAUAGGGAGAAAUGGGAUUAUAUUGGGUAUUUAUUCUUGCAAUAUGUCUGGGCCAUUUGUGUACGUCGAAUUUGGAGAGAUCCGUUAUACGAAAGUUACAUCUGCUGCGAUAAUAGACCAUGGUUACAUACCGUGUCUAUUCUUUUUAUGGGGUUGGAAGUAUGUUUGGAGUUUGCAACAUCUGACAGAGGACAUUUCUAGUAGUUUUUAGAAGAGGACCGCCGGCGAUGCAAGAAAUAAAAAGUAUUAGACUGCA